RNAcentral lists this ribosomal RNA (471 nucleotides) under uncultured bacterium. Its description in RNAcentral is "bacterial SSU rRNA". It matches the Rfam family "Bacterial small subunit ribosomal RNA", at positions 355 to 825 of the family's 1533-position model. The record is from RNAcentral.
UGGGGAAUUUUGGACAAUGGGGGCAACCCUGAUCCAGCCAUGCCGCGUGAGUGAAGAAGGCCUUCGGGUUGUAAAGCUCUUUUGUCAGGGAAGAAACGGUAGUAGCGAAUAACUAUUACUAAUGACGGUACCUGAAGAAUAAGCACCGGCUAACUACGUGCCAGCAGCCGCGGUAAUACGUAGGGUGCAAGCGUUAAUCGGAAUUACUGGGCGUAAAGCGUGCGCAGGCGGUUGUGUAAGUCAGAUGUGAAAUCCCCGGGCUCAACCUGGGAAUUGCAUUUGAGACUGCACGGCUAGAGUGUGUCAGAGGGGGGUAGAAUUCCACGUGUAGCAGUGAAAUGCGUAGAUAUGUGGAGGAAUACCGAUGGCGAAGGCAGCCCCCUGGGAUAACACUGACGCUCAUGCACGAAAGCGUGGGAGCAAACAGGAUUAGAUACCCCUGUAGUCCCUGAGCGGGCUGGCAAGGCGCAU